AAGAAGUUAGACACUGAAUUUAAACAACACUCAUUACAGUUUGAUCAUUCUAUCACUUUAAUUAGUUUAACUAACAAAAUAACUCUUUGGAGGAGGGCUGUUUUCCAUAAUAACUUUCGAUCGAGCACGAUUUCCAAAAUGUAACAUAACUAUAUUAUCAUAAAUUCUAGGUUCAUAAAGGACAUAAAGAAUAAUGGACGUGAAAUUGUUAAAAAAAAAUGGCAUUGUGCAUUUUAAAAUGGAUAAGUUUCGUUUUUUUUGUGCAAAUUGCAAUUUCACUUUAUACAUUACCCAUCAAUAGCCAAUCUCCAUUACCUAUCAAUCGCCAAUUUUCAAUCAAUUUUUUGUCACGCUUUGGUUCUUGACUCCAUUUUCAUUGAUUCUAAUAUGGGAUAAGGUAAUAAAGAUUUUUAGUCGAUUGAGUUACAUAUUUUGUGAUUUAGAAAUCAGCAUUUAUUAAUUCCCUGUUAGACGGAGUCAUGGACAUUGGUUUAAGUUCAAAUAUUGCUUCAUGAAUUCAAAUAUGGAAUAAGGUAAUAUGGGUGUUUAGUCGAUUGAGUUACAUAUUUUGCGAUUCAGUGAGAUUUUCUGUUAAUUUAGAAAUUGGCAUAUGUUAAUUUUCAGUUAGACUGAGUCAUAGAUACUGGUUUAAGUUCAAAUAUUUGUUCCAUAUGGUUAUUCAAAGUCAGUAUUAAUUAGUAGCAAUAAAAUGUGACGUUUGUUGAGAUUUUUUUAGCUAUCUUUAGUUUGCUUGCAAGCCUAUUAGGGACACUUAGUAAUAAAUGCAAGAACGAAAACCACUAUUUCUUUGCAUUUUCUCUGUUGUAGUUCUCUACAUUUUUUCCCUUUGCCUUUGCGAACUCUAAAUUCCCGAUAGUUGUAGUAUCAAAGUCUUGUUCUUUCAUAACUGGGUGUACAACUCAUGGCGACUAACGACAAUCAGUAUUCUAAAAAGCAUAAAGCGUAGCUAAGCGUGGAGCUGAAUUCCCCAAUUGUCCGACUGUUGCUGAGUAGUUUUCGAAUAUCAAACGGACCUCCCCAAAAGGUAAAUUUAGAGUUGUAGCUAUGAGUGUUACAGAUGGUCUGAUGAGAAGAAUGAAAGUGAUUGACCGUCAUUGCUUCUUCUUCGGGAGAAGAAGUUCACGACACUUUAAGCUUUAUGAGCUUAAGUGAGACUGUGCGAGG
Molecule: long non-coding RNA, 1185 nt
Filed under: Olea europaea subsp. europaea
Lineage: Eukaryota; Viridiplantae; Streptophyta; Magnoliopsida; Lamiales; Oleaceae
Source: RNAcentral